Molecule: ribosomal RNA, 420 nt
Filed under: Fusobacteriota bacterium
Lineage: Bacteria; Fusobacteriati; Fusobacteriota
Description: Fusobacteria bacterium partial 16S ribosomal RNA
Rfam family: Bacterial small subunit ribosomal RNA
Source: RNAcentral
UGGGGGAUAUUGCACAAUGGGCGAAAGCCUGAUGCAGCGACGCCGCGUGGGGGAUGAAGGCCUUCGGGUUGUAAACUUCUUUUGCUCUGAACAAGGCAUGCCUUUGGGGUGUGUUGAGUGUAGGGGUUGAUUAGCGCCGGCUAACUACGUGCCAGCAGCCGCGGUAAUACGUAGGGCGCGAGCGUUGUCCGGAAUUAUAGGGCGUAAAGGGCUUGUAGGUGGCUGGUUGCGUCUGUCGUGAAAGCUCAUGGCUUAACUGUGGGUUUGCGGUGGGUACGGGCUGGCUUGAGUGCAGUAGGGGAGGCUGGAAUUCCUGGUGUAGCGGUGGAAUGCGCAGAUAUCAGGAGGAAUACCGGUGGCGAAGGCGGGUCUCUGGGCUGUUACUGACGCUGAGGAGCGAAAGCGUGGGGAGCGAACAGG